Molecule: transfer RNA, 72 nt
Filed under: Armillaria borealis
Lineage: Eukaryota; Fungi; Basidiomycota; Agaricomycetes; Agaricales; Physalacriaceae
Also listed under: 7 other names
Rfam family: tRNA
About the family: Transfer RNA (tRNA) molecules are approximately 80 nucleotides in length. Their secondary structure includes four short double-helical elements and three loops (D, anti-codon, and T loops). Further hydrogen bonds mediate the characteristic L-shaped molecular structure. tRNAs have two regions of fundamental functional importance: the anti-codon, which is responsible for specific mRNA codon recognition, and the 3' end, to which the tRNAs corresponding amino acid is attached (by aminoacyl-tRNA synthetases). tRNAs cope with the degeneracy of the genetic code in two manners: having more than one tRNA (with a specific anti-codon) for a particular amino acid; and 'wobble' base-pairing, i.e. permitting non-standard base-pairing at the 3rd anti-codon position.
Source: Rfam by way of RNAcentral
GGCCGUGUGGCGUAAUGGCAACGCGUCUGACUACGAAUCAGGAGAUUGCAGGUUCGACCCCUGUCUCGGUCA